This is a ribosomal RNA of 437 nucleotides. It matches the Rfam family "Bacterial small subunit ribosomal RNA", at positions 341 to 792 of the family's 1533-position model.
ACGGAAGGCAGCAGUGGGGAAUAUUGGGCAAUGGGCGAGAGCCUGACCCAGCAACGCCGCGUGAAGGAAGAAGGCCUUCGGGUUGUAAACUUCUUUUGUCAGGGACGAAGGACGUGACGGUACCUGACGAAUAAGCAACGGCUAACUACGUGCCAGCAGCCGCGGUAAUACGUAGGUUGCAAGCGUUGUCCGGAUUUACUGGGUGUAAAGGGCGUGUAGGCGGAGCUGCAAGUCAGAUGUGAAAUCCCGGGGCUCAACCCCGGAACUGCAUUUGAAACUGUAGCCCUUGAGUAUCGGAGAGGCAAGCGGAAUUCCUUGUGUAGCGGUGAAAUGCGUAGAUAUAAGGAAGAACACCAGUGGCGAAAGCGAUCUACUGGACAGUAACUGACGCUGAGGCGCGAGAGCGUGGGGAGCAAACAGGAUUAGAUACCCUGGUA